RNAcentral lists this non-coding RNA (1325 nucleotides) under synthetic construct. The record is from RNAcentral.
AUGAUUCCCGAGACAUACCAGCCAAGAAGGGGAGGUUGGACAGUCUGACCAUAGAAGAUAUUUUCAGCCCUGUUGAUACCAUUUUACACGUUGCCGGCAGCCCCAUUACAGUAAGAACUUUUGAAACACCAUUUCAUAUUUUAUGGAUAGAUAAAGACAGUGUAUGGAACGGGUAUCUUUCAGAGUUUUUUAGAGCCCUGUAUGUGAAACUAUAUGGUAAUUUUAUUGGCCUCAAACCUAUACUUGCCUACGUUUUCCCAGCAGCUGUGGAGUCUCCCACUUUCUUCAACACCAUUUUUACUAGCUUUCCUUUCCUGUGUUUAAGAUUUGGCAAGCCUGUAAAAACCAGCUGUGUCCACUUACAGAAGGAUUGUUUAAAAAUACUUGCAAAAUUACCUAAUGUUAUCAGGUCUCCUCUAGCAGACAAAGUUUUGGACAUAAAGGCUCAGAAGAAACCAAUCACCAGUAUGUGGCCCUUGCUCACCAAAGAAUUAAAUGGAAGUUUUGCUGAAGAUAACAAGGUUAUAAUUACAAAGGAAUGUAAUGUAGUUGAAAUUGACUUUACAAAGGCUUUCCUUAUUUCCUGUAACAUGCCUUAUGCAGUUUACUGGCAUGAGCAGAUGGUGGAAAUUGUUAAUGUGAUAACAGAUGAAAUGAAGGAUUCUCUAGUGUCAAGAUAUAAUGAGUUUCUCUAUGCUAUCAUAUCAAGUGGGAAUAAACAUAACUUCACCUGGGUGAGUAUAAGCAAAUGUACAGUUCACAUGGUGGGACCCGACCUGGUGAAUGAUACACAGUUCCUGGAUGAAAUAUUCCACAGACUCUCAUCAGUUUAUAAUGGACACGUAGGGGAUAUUACAGUCUCAUCACAGAAACUAAAAGUUGCUAUGUUCACUGAUAUUCUGGAUGAAAUAAAGUUGAUCAAACCACUCUGUCUUGAAGAAAACAGGCAACCAGAGACUUUUCAAAGCGCAUGCGAGGAUAUUCUAAGAUAUUCACUCUGUCUUUGUAAACACUCAAAGGAAGACAUACUCUGGAAAAUUCUUCUGACCAUGUGGCAGCAAAGAAGAAAUACCUCUUUCUGGCUAAAAGAAACAAUGAAUAUAGAACAUCCCACCAUCCGGCCCAAAGGACUUUUCUUUACCAUAGCUCCUGCAUUUUAUCUCCACACAAAGCAUGGAAUGUCUUUUUGGAUGCAAGACAAACCCCUCCCAAGCUGCUUUGAUUAUACCCCUUAUAUCAUGGAACUGUGUGACAUACUACAACUGAAUGAUGAAGAAAGAGACAUGAUAUUGUCAAAUUAUGAAACUUUAUUAAAUUUAUCAUAA